UCAGUUAUCGUUUAUUUGAUAGUACCUACUUACUUGGAUAACCGUGGUAAUUCUAGAGCUAAUACAUGCUAAAAACCUCGACUUCGGAAGGGGUGUAUUUAUUAGAUAAAAAACCAAUGCCCUCCGGGGCUCCUUGGUGAUUCAUAAUAACUUAACGAAUCGCAUGGCCUUGCGCCGGCGAUGGUUCAUUCAAAUUUCUGCCCUAUCAACUUUCGAUGGUAGGAUAGUGGCCUACCAUGGUGGCAACGGGUAACGGGGAAUUAGGGUUCUAUUCCGGAGAGGGAGCCUGAGAAACGGCUACCACAUCCAAGGAAGGCAGCAGGCGCGCAAAUUACCCAAUCCCGACACGGGGAGGUAGUGACAAUAAAUACUGAUGUGGAGCUCUUUAGGGUUUCACAAUUGGAAUGAGAAAAAUCUAAACCACUUAAACGAGGAACAAUUGGAGGGCAAGUCUGGUGCCAGCAGCCGCGGUAAUUCCAGCUCCAAUAGCGUAUAUUAAAGUUGUUGCAGUUAAAAAGCUCGUAGUUGAACCUUGGGCCUGGCCGGUCGGUCCGCCUCACCGCGURCACUGGUUCGRCCGGGCCUUUCCUCCUGGGGAACCGCAUGCCCUUCACUGGGUGUGCCGGGGAAUCAGGACUUUUACUUUGAAAAAAUUAGAGUGUUCAAAGCAGGCAUUUGCUCGAAUACAUUAGCAUGGAAUAAUAGAAUAGGACGUUGUGGUUCUAUUUUGUUGGUUUCUAGGACCGCCGUAUA
RNAcentral lists this ribosomal RNA (753 nucleotides) under Placopsis clavifera. RNAcentral describes it as "SSU rRNA". It matches the Rfam family "Eukaryotic small subunit ribosomal RNA", at positions 106 to 877 of the family's 1831-position model. The record is from RNAcentral. Lineage: Eukaryota; Fungi; Ascomycota; Lecanoromycetes; Trapeliales; Trapeliaceae.